UUGAUAGGCAGGGUGUGUAAGCGUUGUGAGGCGUUGAGCUAACCUGUACUAAUUGCCCGUGAGGCUUAACCAUACAACACCCAAGGGGUUUUGUA
RNAcentral lists this ribosomal RNA (95 nucleotides) under Vibrio cholerae. RNAcentral describes it as "partial 23S ribosomal RNA". Lineage: Bacteria; Pseudomonadati; Pseudomonadota; Gammaproteobacteria; Vibrionales; Vibrionaceae. The record is from RNAcentral.